UACAUGGGGUGCAAACGUUGCUCGGAAUUAUUGGGCGUAAAGCGCACGUAGGCGGUUCGUUAAGUCGGAUGUGAAAGCCCUCGGCUCAACUGAGGAAGUGCACCCGAAACUGGCGAGCUUGAGUACGAAAGAGGAUCGCGGAAUUCCCGGUGUAGAGGUGAAAUUCGUAGAUAUCGGGAGGAACACCGGCGGCGAAGGCGGCGAUCUGGGUCGAUACUGACGCUGAGGAGCGAAAGCGUGGGGAGCGAACAGG
RNAcentral lists this ribosomal RNA (253 nucleotides) under uncultured bacterium. Its description in RNAcentral is "partial 16S ribosomal RNA". It matches the Rfam family "Bacterial small subunit ribosomal RNA", at positions 524 to 776 of the family's 1533-position model. The record is from RNAcentral.